This 2347-nucleotide unclassified non-coding RNA is filed under the name Harpegnathos saltator (Jerdon's jumping ant). Its description in RNAcentral is "d-beta-hydroxybutyrate dehydrogenase, mitochondrial, transcript variant X1". Lineage: Eukaryota; Metazoa; Arthropoda; Insecta; Hymenoptera; Formicidae. The record is from RNAcentral.
AGAGAGAGAGAGAGAGAGACGUGUACAGAUAGUCGUGUUACAACCAAAGUUUCUGCUGACUUGUGUAUCAGCUCGGGAGAUUGGCGCAUUGUCUCCUCCUACUAGCUGGACCGUAAUUCAAUUACACACAACUUUCGAAGACGUGUUCCAUGCACGGCAACAUGUGGCCGGCGUGUGGAAUGAGAAGACAUUCUACGACGUUGAAGAUUGUGUUGGCGGUCUCGACCGGUCUUGCGUAUUUGUAUAGUGCCGGAUACGAGAUAUGUACGAUCUCAGCACUUUCGUUGAUCUUUCUGGGACUGGCUUAUCGGUAUUAUCAGCUGUGUGUUCAGGAGAAAUUAAACACGCAGCAUCUCAUAGUCAUAACCGGCUGCGAUUCCGGUCUGGGAUAUAGCCUGGCGUUUCACUGUCGGGCUCUUGGCGCGACAGUUUUGGCGGGAGUGCUGUAUCCCGAUAGUCAGGCUGCCCAAAGUCUGACGGAGAGCAAAGUUAUCGUUCAUCGCCUUGACAGCACCAAUGAAGAGAGCAUCGAGCAAUUUGCGAAAUACAUCAAGACCUUAUGCGUCGAGAAAAAAUGUGACCUAUAUGCGUUGAUAAACAACGCCGGAGUGAUGAUCUUCGGCGAAUUCGAUUGGCAGACGCAGCAGCAGGUGAAGAAUCAGGUAGCGGUGAAUCUCGUAGGGACAAUGAGAGUCACGCAGAUCCUCAUGCCGGUUAUACUAUCGAACAAAAGCAGAAUCAUCGUGAUAAGCAGCCACUGCGCCGAAGAAUUCUUACCGGGUUUGAGCGUAUACGGAGCAACGAAAGCCGCCCUCCGCGCUUGGUCCAUCUCCCUUCGGGUAGAGCUCGCCAAGUACGGUGUCAAAGUGAUCUCCUUCAUACCCGGUAACUUUACGGGAGAAAGCAACAUCAUGGCACGUCAACGGCAGUACUUCAACGAGAUGAAGCGAUCGAUGAAGUCCGAAGCGAUGGUCUUUUACGACGACUAUUUCACUCGAUACGUAGAGUAUUAUUCUUCCGUCGCGGGACAAAACGAUUUGAAGCGCGUGACGAAUUCCGGUAUUUACGAGAUUUUCGACAACGCUCUCCUCGACGUUUACCCAUCGGCGAUUUACAAAUGGGAAUCGUGGAAAUAUUUUUUCUAUUAUGCAUCGUUCAAGUACACACCAACGUGUGUACGUGAUCGAUUGAUAAAUAGAUUCGUGAAGCCUCCCUCUUGGCACAAGUCGACCAUCGACCUAUGAUCCACCAUCGUAGACAUAUGUCGAGUGCCUUGAGAUUUUUCGCGCUCGAUACUGGUGCACAAUGCUCGAAAACAGUAAAUACAGCUGGGUGUGAAUGAAUCAGUGUCAAUAAAUUAUCAGCAGUUGUCUCUUCACCUGAUUAUCUAUUUCUGUUAUUAAGCCUGGUUGCUACACGUUUCUCAUCGCUUUUGUACAGAGUCAUUCAAAACAAGCAGGAUUCUUGGGACCGAGUCAGGACCGAAAACUGGCGAUUAAUUAACAAUUUCAUUAUAAAAUCAUGAUUUUGUGUCAUAAGUGAAAUUUGAAGAAAAAACAUAUGUAUGUAGGGAAGUUGAGGUGCACAAAGUAUGCAAAAUUAAUAUUUUUUUAAAAAUAACAGUGAUGUGUUGCAUCUCUCUUUUUCUCUUUCUUCCCACACACACACACACACACACACACGCAAUAUGUAUAUAAUGCGUGUUUUGGAGAAAUGUGGACGAUUUGUGGAUGAACGUUUCAAUUGUUUACAGAUGUAAUUUCAAUAUUGAUAGAUGUAAGAGAUACGAUCCGAGUAUGAUGUGCAGUGUCACUUAUGAAAUAAGACAAUAUUAAGAAAUAUUAUUGUAUAUAUCAUUACAUUGUGAAUAACAACAAGAGCGAGACAUACAGGGUAAUUGCAGAAAAAUAUUUAUAGUGUUUCUACAUAUAACUGUGUGUCAACAUAUAACUUAUACACGCGAUAAUUUUUUUUUGCUUAGAAAGCAACGGAAAAAUAAUCACCGUAACAUAUGUCUUUUUUUACAAAAGUAUUUUACGAAACUGUUGUCGGAGUUAUUUUCAGGUACAACUAAGUAAUCUCGCAAAUAACUGGAGAUCGUUGGACGAACCGAAGCAUUAAUCGCGGUAAAAAUGUGCCAUACGUAUCUGCCAAUUCUAUUUAUCAGAAUCAACGACUGUCACUUGAUUGCUUGUGGAACGUCAAUUGUUUGUUCAAGCACAAUGAAGCACAAUGAAGCCACGAAGACCGAUAAGCUGCACAAACUUGCAACAUCAGCACAGGGCUGGCAGGUGUUUGAUUAGAUAUUAACAGGCGGAAGAUAUAAAUAGUCGGCUCGCGCUGAUGG